RNAcentral lists this ribosomal RNA (468 nucleotides) under uncultured bacterium. RNAcentral's name for it is "partial 16S ribosomal RNA". It matches the Rfam family "Bacterial small subunit ribosomal RNA", at positions 28 to 507 of the family's 1533-position model. The record is from RNAcentral.
GACGAACGCUGGCGGCGUGCUUAACACAUGCGAGUCGAACGGAAAGGCCCUGCUUUUGUGGGGUGCUCGAGUGGCGAACGGGUGAGUAACACGUGAGUAACCUGCCCUUGACUUUGGGAUAACUUCAGGAAACUGGGGCUAAUACCGGAUAGGAGCUCCUGCUGCAUGGUGGGGGUUGGAAAGUUUCGGCGGUUGGGGCUGGACUCGCGGCUUAUCAGCUUGUUGGUGGGGUAGUGGCUUACCAAGGCUUUGACGGGUAGCCGGCCUGAGAGGGUGACCGGCCACAUUGGGACUGAGAUACGGCCCAGACUCCUAAGGGAGGCAGCAGUGGGGAAUAUUGCACAAUGGGCGGAAGCCUGAUGCAGCAACGCCGCGUGCGGGAUGACGGCCUUCGGGUUGUAAACCGCUUUCGCCUGUGACGAAGCGUGAGUGACGGUAAUGGGUAAAGAAGCACCGGCUAACUACGUG